This 253-nucleotide ribosomal RNA is filed under the name uncultured Acidithiobacillus sp. RNAcentral's name for it is "partial 16S ribosomal RNA". It matches the Rfam family "Bacterial small subunit ribosomal RNA", at positions 524 to 776 of the family's 1533-position model. Lineage: Bacteria; Pseudomonadati; Pseudomonadota; Acidithiobacillia; Acidithiobacillales; Acidithiobacillaceae. The record is from RNAcentral.
UACGGGGGGUGCAAGCGUUAAUCGGAAUCACUGGGCGUAAAGGGUGCGUAGGCGGUACGUUAGGUCUGUCGUGAAAUCCCCGGGCUCAACCUGGGAAUGGCGGUAGAAACCGGCGCACUAGAGUUUGGUAGAGGGAAGUGGAAUUCCACGUGUAGCGGUGAAAUGCGUAGAUAUGUGGAGGAACACCAGUGGCGAAGGCGGCCACCUGGCCCAAUACUGACGCUGAGGCACGAAAGCGUGGGGAGCAAACAGG